Molecule: ribosomal RNA, 422 nt
Filed under: uncultured bacterium
Lineage: Bacteria
Description: bacterial SSU rRNA
Rfam family: Bacterial small subunit ribosomal RNA
Source: RNAcentral
UGAGGAAUAUUGGUCAAUGGACGGAAGUCUGAACCAUCCAUGCCGCGUGAAGGAUGAAGGCGUUCUGCGUUGUAAACUUCUUUUAUCUGGGAAGAAACCACAGAUUUCUAUUUGUGUUGACGGUACCAGCGGAAUAAGCACCGGCUAACUCCGUGCCAGCAGCCGCGAUCAUACGGAGGGUGCGAGCGUUAUCCGGAUUUACUGGGUUUAAAGGGUGCGUAGCCGGGCUAUUAAGUCAGAGGUGAAAUCUCCGGGCUCAACCUGGAAACUGCCUUUGAUACUAUUAGCCUUGAAUUAUGUUGAGGUUGGCGGAAUAUAACAUGUAGCGGUGAAAUGCUUAGAUAUGUUAUGGAACACCGAUUGCGAAGGCAGCUGGCUAAACAUAUAUUGACGCUGAUGCACGAAAGCGUGGGUAGCGAACA